AUAAAAAACCAACGCCCUUCGGGGCUCCUUGGUGAAUCAUAAUAACUUAACGAAUCGCACGGCCUUGCGCCGGCGAUGGUUCAUUCAAAUUUCUGCCCUAUCAACUUUCGAUGGUAGGAUAGUGGCCUACCAUGGUGG
RNAcentral lists this ribosomal RNA (138 nucleotides) under uncultured eukaryote. RNAcentral's name for it is "partial 18S ribosomal RNA". It matches the Rfam family "Eukaryotic small subunit ribosomal RNA", at positions 214 to 352 of the family's 1831-position model. The record is from RNAcentral.